This 73-nucleotide transfer RNA is filed under the name Arthrobacter phage Amigo. RNAcentral describes it as "tRNA-Trp". It matches the Rfam family "tRNA". Rfam says of the family: Transfer RNA (tRNA) molecules are approximately 80 nucleotides in length. RNAcentral also lists the same sequence under 11 other names. Lineage: Duplodnaviria; Heunggongvirae; Uroviricota; Caudoviricetes. The record is from RNAcentral.
GGGAAGAUGGUGUAGUCGGUAACAUGGCGGUCUCCAAAACCGUUGUCAGGGGUUCGAGCCCUCUUCUUCCUGC